Non-coding RNA from Phrynosoma platyrhinos (Desert horned lizard), 72 nucleotides. Lineage: Eukaryota; Metazoa; Chordata; Lepidosauria; Squamata; Phrynosomatidae. The record is from the annotation of a GenBank genome assembly.
GUUAGUGUAGUUUAAUGGUUUGAAUGUUAGACUACGAUUCUGGAGGCCAGGGUUUGAAUCCCAGCUUGGCCA